AUAGAUGUCUGAGAAAAUUAAAUUUGAAAAAUUGAUUUAAGUUAGAAGACCUAUUAUUUUGCAAAUUGAUUUAAGUUAGAAAAUUGAUUUGCAAAAUUGAAAAUUAAAUUUGCAAAAUUGUUCAUCGUCCUGUUAUUUUGAUACAGCACCGUGUUUACCUUGUUUACUUGUUACAAUUGAUUAUUGUUUCAAAUUAAUUUGAUCGCUACUGUUCCUCUUAAUCUGUCAAAUUCCAAAUUGUGAAUACUGCUACAGUGCGUGCGUUUUAUUGUUACUACUUUAUUAAUUGUUUCCUGCACCAGUAUAAUGAAAAUAAUGAAUAUUGCUUUAUUUACUAUUAUUAUAAUUAUUAUGGCUGAGUAGUUUAAUUGAGUCCAAAACAAGAGGACCAUCGUUACUAUAAUAUGUAUUCGCCGGUGAUGCGGAAGUAAUGUGUAUGCGUCGGUGAUGCGGAAUUGAAGGUGUUUGUGCAAUCGUGCUGGUCUGCGUUUUUUUUGCCGUUGGGAAAGAUCUGGUUUUUCCACUAUGUUACAGUGAUUAGUGUACUGGUUUUUCUAGGGGUGGUUUGCAAUUUUGUUUAAAUUUCUAAAGCCUAAGCUAUACCAACUAAGGCAUGUGCAGCAGCAUUCAUAGUUCUCCUAAGAUGAACCACACUAGUAUAUGAUUGAAAUUAGAUGCCUUAUAGUAGUAAAUAUAUAUUCUAGAAGUUGGAUUUAGACAACAAAUCCAAACAGUCUUGAAUUACAUGAUCUAAUUCAACUAAAUUUAAUCUUCCAUGGAGGCUGUUCACAACAAGUCCAGCAUCCAACUCAAAAAUAAGCUUACCAUACCUUUGAUCUUUAUCCCACUCUAGACCCCACCUAAGUGUCAUUGAAGUAUGAACUAACAAUGAAUUAGAAUAAAGUCAGGAAAGUUUGAAUAGUAUUAAUUCAAAUAUAUUCAUUUAAGAUUAUGUUGCGUUUUAAAUUUCUGAUGGGUUCAUAUAUCAAAUAUGCAUAGCCCUUUCCUCAUUAAAAAUUCACAAAAACUAGUCUGCUUCUAUUGAUAUGAACUUAGGGAUGGCCAAAGUUUGGUUUUUAACCAAAACUGUAUGUGAACCGAACCAAACUGUAUUUCAAUUCUUUAAAACCGAACUGAACCAUCAACCAUUUAAUUUGAACUGAACCGAACAGUUUUUUAAACUGUUGAAAAAACUGUUGAACCAGUUCUAGAUUAAAAAUAACCAAACAGAACCAUUACUUAACGAAUAUAAAAAGUAAAAGUGGUCCUUGUUUCAGCGAAAACAAAUACAGUACCCUACACCUCAUGUAUAUGAAUCUGGUCUUUGAUUUUUUAAUAUUUUUUUUGAUAAACUGAAGCUGGUCUUUGAUGAUAAAAGGAAAACAAAUACUCUGCCUCGCCGCCAUAGCUUGAGAAGCUAUUAUUUUAUUAUUAUUGUUUAUUUUAUUUUGGUUAAGUGUAUUAUUGGGUGGGGUUAAAUUUUUUUAAUGAAUCGAUGAAAUAGGCCCGUAAGAGUGGAUUGUUUCGUGAUUCCAUGAGUGAGCCACAUACCUGUGAGUGAGGGUGGUUUAUUACUUUCGUUGUAUUGGGGAAGGGGUUGAUGGUGAGUGCUGCAAAAUUUGUGAGUAACAAAUAACCAUGGUGCAGUUUGGUUAACGGGUGAAUUUAAGUACAUGGUUCAGUUAACAAACUGUAAAUAAUAGUUAUGUAGUGUAAAUUAAAAUUGAUCUUUGCAAAUGUGUUUUUUUACGGUGUCCUCGUCAAAGAAAUACUAUUGACUGCGGAUAUUUUAUCAUGAGAUUUAUGAAAGAAGUUAUCAUGGAAUAUCCAAAUAAGAUUCCUGAUAAUUAUUUUUCUCGCCAUAGACAUUCUACAUACUCUAAAGAGAAGCUAGAUGAGGUGAAGGAGGAGUGGGCUACCCAUAUGGUUGAAGAUGUUAUCAAUGAUGCAAAGAGACUGCAAAAAUAAUAGUUGAUCAUUAAUUAGUAGUUUGAGGGCUUCCUUUUUCGAUGAAGUGGGCGGUUCUCAUCAAGUGACAGGUCGCAGAAGAAAGUAGGGCUAUAGUUUGACUAUCUUUUGUAGUGGUUUUUGUGUUUUGUACUAAAAUUUGUCAUUGAUUUUCUCAUUAGAAGCUAUGGCCAAAUUUUGACAAUAUCUCUUUUGUAGUGGUCUUUGUGUUUGCACUAUUCAAUUCAGAUUUGUCUUGUAGUCGGAUUGGUAUUAUUUAUGAAAUGAAUGUAUUACAAGA
Molecule: long non-coding RNA, 2248 nt
Organism: Trifolium pratense (red clover)
Lineage: Eukaryota; Viridiplantae; Streptophyta; Magnoliopsida; Fabales; Fabaceae
Exons: 3
Source: RefSeq, a predicted model, not a curated record